Molecule: ribosomal RNA, 502 nt
Filed under: uncultured bacterium
Lineage: Bacteria
Description: partial 16S ribosomal RNA
Rfam family: Bacterial small subunit ribosomal RNA
Source: RNAcentral
AUUGAACGCUGGCGGCAGGCUUAACACAUGCAAGUCGAGCGGGGUGAUGGUGCUUGCACUAUCACUUAGCGGCGGACGGGUGAGUAAUGCUUAGGAAUCUGCCUAUUAGUGGGGGACAACAUCUCGAAAGGGAUGCUAAUACCGCAUACGUCCUACGGGAGAAAGCAGGGGAUCACUUGUGAUCUUGCGCUAAUAGAUGAGCCUAAGUCGGAUUAGCUAGUUGGUGGGGUAAAGGCCUACCAAGGCGACGAUCUGUAGCGGGUCUGAGAGGAUGAUCCGCCACACUGGGACUGAGACACGGCCCAGACUCCUACGGGAGGCAGCAGUGGGGAAUAUUGGACAAUGGGGGGAACCCUGAUCCAGCCAUGCCGCGUGUGUGAAGAAGGCCUUAUGGUUGUAAAGCACCUUAAGCGAGGAGGAGGCUCUUUUGGUUAAUACCCAAGAUGAGUGGACGUUACUCGCAGAAUAAGCACCGGCUAACUCGUGCCAGCCGCCGCGGUAA